GAUGAACGCUGGCGGCGUGCCUAAUACAUGCAAGUCGAGCGAACAGACGAGGAGCUUGCUCCUCUGACGUUAGCGGCGGACGGGUGAGUAACACGUGGAUAACCUACCUAUAAGACUGGGAUAACUUCGGGAAACCGGAGCUAAUACCGGAUAAUAUAUUGAACCGCAUGGUUCAAUAGUGAAAGACGGUUUUGCUGUCACUUAUAGAUGGAUCCGCGCCGCAUUAGCUAGUUGGUAAGGUAACGGCUUACCAAGGCGACGAUGCGUAGCCGACCUGAGAGGGUGAUCGGCCACACUGGAACUGAGACACGGUCCAGACUCCUACGGGAGGCAGACGUAGGGAAUCUUCCGCAAUGGGCGAAAGCCUGACGGAGCAACGCCGCGGGAGUGAUGAAGGUCUUCGGAUCGUAAAACUCUGUUAUUAGGGAAGAACAAAAGUGUAAGUAACUAUGCACGUCUUGGCGGGACCUAAUCAAAAAGCCACGGCUAACUACGGG
RNAcentral lists this ribosomal RNA (497 nucleotides) under uncultured bacterium. RNAcentral's name for it is "partial 16S ribosomal RNA". It matches the Rfam family "Bacterial small subunit ribosomal RNA", at positions 28 to 507 of the family's 1533-position model. The record is from RNAcentral.